This 73-nucleotide transfer RNA is filed under the name Triticum aestivum (bread wheat). RNAcentral describes it as "tRNA-Tyr (GTA) (tRNA-Tyr-GTA-9-1)". It matches the Rfam family "tRNA". From Rfam's summary of the family: Transfer RNA (tRNA) molecules are approximately 80 nucleotides in length. Their secondary structure includes four short double-helical elements and three loops (D, anti-codon, and T loops). The record is from RNAcentral. Lineage: Eukaryota; Viridiplantae; Streptophyta; Magnoliopsida; Poales; Poaceae.
CCGACCUUAGCUCAGUUGGUAGAGCGGAGGACUGUAGAUCCUUAGGUCGCUGGUUUGAAUCCGGCAGGUCGAA